AGGUGAAUAGCAGCUUUAUUCACAAUAGCCAAUAGUCAGGGACAAUCCCGAUGUCCCUCAACGGCAGAACUAACAGACAGUGUUGUGUUCGUCCAACGGAAUCGUUAACGCGGCGAUUAGAAACACAGUCCAGCGCUCUGCGCACGCUGACGAGUCUCCCUGACGUGAUAAUGAGCAAAAGAAGCCAGACGCAAAGGCCACAGACUGGCUUCAUUCACAGGAAGUUCAGGCACAGGCAAGACCAUCCCAGGUGGUGGUCAGAUCGUGGUUCCCAGAGCAAGAGGUGGGAUGGCCAGGAGGGGCCUGCGGGAGCCCGGGGGAGCUGUGACCUUCUCUGUCCUGAUCCCGGUGGGGGUGCACGGGCGUGUAUAUGUGUGAAACUUAAUCUAACCACACACCUAAGAUUUGUGCAUCCUGCUUUGUGUGUUGUAUCUCGAUAAACAUUUUUAAAUGAGAGAAAAAGCACUUACGUCUCAAUUAAAGAGCAGAAGCCGGCCCAACAGCGUGUUAGCAGGGCUCUCUGUUUAUAUGUGGGUUAUGGGCGUAUUUUCCUCUUGCUUCUCUCUCUAUUUUCAAAUUUUCUCUAAAGUGAAGAUGCAUCACAUAGGAGAAAGUUUACAGAAGCAGCAAGUGUUUUUGUUUCAGGAGAGUAUUCAGCAGUCUCUGUCAUUGAGGUCUUCUGGAAAGGGUGACCCUUUGGGAAGGGUUUCUUCCUCGCUUCGCCCCCAGGCUAUUGUGGGACAUGCUUUCGUUGGGGACACAGAGCUGGAUGAGCCUUGGUCCCCACCUGCCAAGGAGCUCAUAGAGGGCUGGGUCUGCAAGGAGGCAGCUCGCAGACAGGCGAUGCCCUCUGCAGACGUCAGCGCUGCAGCAGGGCCACCGUGAGGGCAUCUGGAACACAGCUUUCCCCAAGUGCCACGGUCUUAGCCGGCCCCAGCAGCCAUCAUAAAACGCCACAGAUGGGGGUUUAAACAGCAGACAUUUAUUUCUCACAGUUCCGGAGGCUGGAAGUCCAACAUUGCGGUUCUGAUAGGGUUUGGUUUCCGGUGAGAGCUGUCUUCCCGGCUUGCAGACAGCUGGCCACCUUCUCUCUGUGUCCUCACAAACCUCCCUCCUCCCACAGGGGGGCACUUGGGGGGCCUCCCUCAUUUCCCUCCUACCUAAGGGGGGCCUCCAUCACCUCCCUCCUACCUAAGGGGGGCCUCCAUCACCUCCCUCCUCCCACAGAGGGGCCUCCAUCACCUCCCUCCUCCCACAGCAGGGCACUCAGAGGUCCUCCGUUGUCUCCCUCCUGGCUCUCUUUCUCUGCCUGAGGCAUGAGAGCCAACUCUGGGUGAGGCUCCAAGGUGCCCCAGAGGCCUGAGCCUAGGGGUGGUGAGCAGGGCUGCUCCUAUCCACUGAGGGGCCUGCCCUGGGGGAGGAGGUGUAGGUGGGGGCUUCAGAGUGGAGAGCUGGAGCUGGGCCUCCCCUUGCACCUGCCCACGCUGCUCCCCGGCGACUUGCUGAGCCCGGGCAUUAGAUUUUCAGUAGCAAGAGCAGGUCAGCAUUAGCCACUAUCGUGCAUGUUGGGGGUGGGGGCUGUGGUGGGGGAGGAAGGGGACCGAGAAAAGGGGAACAAAAUCAAGGAAGGAGAUGAAAGGAGAGAGAGAAGAGAGAGGAGAAAGAACACGAACCAUAGGCAGCACCUCUAGAUGCUUCUGUGACCCAGGCCGUCCAGGGAGCCCCCGCUGCCCCAAAGGGGAGGGGCUGCUGCUGUCGCUGUCCGGUUCUGCAGACGAGGAAACUGAGCAUAGACAGUCUCAGUCACUUGACUCAGGACUUAACAGCAGCAAGUAGCACAGCAGGGCUUGAAGCAGCCAGCGGCCAUGCCAGCGAGUGCCAUGAGGAGGAGGGAGACAGCAGGAUGGGGGGACCAGAGGGGCAGGCGUUUCCCGAAUGAAACCUGCCAGGCACUACGGGAGGCCCGUCGCCAGGGCCCAGGCUUGGUUUCACGCUGUGCUGUCGCCAUGUUGAAAUUCUUGAUAACAGUUUCGAGCAAGGGUCCCCACAUUUUAUUUCACAAACUAUGUCUCCAGCGCUGAGUGCAAUAAUGAAGUGCACACCCCAAGCCCCUCUCUUUCAGGGGAUCAUAGUCUAGAGGCCUUGUCAGAAGGAAGAGGGGAAGGGGCCUGAGCAAGCACAGGAAGUGAGCGUCUGCUGGAGACACAGGGCGGACUGGGGAAGGGCCCGGACUGUCCUUUAGAGCCAGAGAGGCAUAACUCAAUUCUUUUUACAAUUUCAUUACUGGGAAAAAUCUAUCAGCCCCAGGAGCAUUCUGCUCACAAAAUUGAGCUAAAAACAAAAGGGCAUUCACUGUGCCUUCCCCGAGCUCUGAGCUGAGCCGGAUUCCCAUAAAUCUUUGAUAAGUAGAGAAUGGUGAGCCUCGCUCAGCCUUGUCGUCGCAGCCUGCCCCGGGUCCUCCAGCUGGAGAUGGUGAAAGGGAGAGGGAAGCAGCACGGAGGAGGGCCGCAUGGCGCCAGCACAGUGCUGCCCUCACCUCCAUCACCCCCUUAGCCCUCCCCAGAAUGGCGUGAGGGAGGGAUAAGCACUCCCUCUUUAGAGAAACUGUGAGUAACUUGUCUGGUGUCAUGUGGCCAGUGAGGGGUUGGGUCAAGACCCAACCUAGGUUUGUCUGACUCCCAAACCCAUGCCCUGUGAACUCGCCACGUCCCCCCCACUCGGUAUAUUCAUGUGAAAACACAUUUAGCUAAAUUCACGCUAAAAUCCCUCAAAGGAGCCGUGGUACCUCUCAUCUUUGGGCCUUGGCCAAUGGGGGUGCCUCAGCCUGGAGAAGCAUCCCCCUGCACUCCCCACCAGGUUUUCUUCCCAAGUCUUUAGACAUCCCUGAAGCGGACCUUUCUCCUGAGCCCUCCCAGACCCCGGCCCCCGGGGCACAGGUGCCCCCACAGCCGGCUCCCUGUGCUCUCCUUUCCUCCUAACGCCACAAGACCGGGUUUCUGUCCAGACAGCGUCUGACACACAGCUGACACUCAAUAUUUCUUAUUGAAAAACUAUUUGAGGGAUGUUGGCCCUGGGGAAGUGUCCGUGACUGUUCCUUUCUCUGCCCAGCUGACAGGCUGACCUGCUCUGUCCCUCAUGAAAGGAGAAUGUCAUCCAGGGACGUCUCCAGUCCCUGGUCCUGACCCAACGCCCAGGACAGCUCCUCUGCGACUCCCCGAAUCAUAACUUCACUAAAGCCCUUUCAGCUUUGCAGGUCACCUUGAGAGCCUUGGCGCCCACUGGACGGCACACCCCGCCAGCGCCUGCCUCUUUCACGCUCAGGCCUCUGUUUAUGAGCAAGUGCAGGAAGGCCAGGAGAGGCCUUGGCUAGACUGGAGGCGAGACUCUGGAGGCCCGACGGCUGUCAGGAGACGGGACGGAGCAGACGGACCACGGCUUCUCGGUGCAGAGUUGCCCGCACGGCUGGCCCCUCUCCCGCUUCGGUGCCUCUUCCCCGUGACUGCGUGAAGGUCGUUACUGGGGGGCUGUUUUUCCCUUUCCCGAACUCUAUUCCAUAUUGUCUCAUUUAGUCCCUUCAACAGCCCCGGGGAGGGAUAGGACAAAGGUCACCUGGGAGGACGCUGGGUCAGGCUGCACAGAAGCAGCAGAGCGGGUAUGGGUUGAUGCCAGGCGGCCCCGCAGCAGACUCGCUGCCUGGGGUCUGCGCGGGCCCUGCCACCCAUCAAAAGAGUCUCCACCUGUGUCUGCUCAGGGUGGUGGGGCCUCUAGAUGACCUCUUUUCGCCUGAUGAGGCCUGGCCCCGGAUCUCCGAGCUGCCUGCAGCCCCGAGGUGCUGGCCCCUGCCUAGGGGACUCUUUAGCAGAGGCUGCCUUUCCUGGCCCCUCCUUUGCACUGGUUUUUUAGAACAACCCUCCUUCUGGCGUCUGACUUCUAAUCAGGCGUUCAUCUCCUGUGCUGUUAAGGGGCUGUGGCUGGGAGGGAGCAGUCUCUGCUCUCUCUGCUGCUCGGAGGCAGGUGGGAGCCUCAGGAUUUCUUCCAGGAGGAAGGCUGUUGGAGCGAAGGAGCAGGGAGGGGACAGAGAGAAACCCAGGCCUCACAUGACCCACCUGGCAGCCGGGGCCUGUGUCUGUCCCCAUUACAGGCCCAAAAUGACUGCAGCCACCAAGGGCAGCCGAGCCAAUGAGCGAGGCAGGCAUCUCCUUGGCAUCAACCUCUCUCUCUCCCUCACUCCCUCUCUCUCUCACACACACACUCACACUAGACAGGAAAACAAGACUGACUACACAGCCAAUCCAGCUCCCCCUUCCAGCAUCAGUGACUCAUCCUGAAACCCCCUGGUUCCAGCGCCCACAGUCUGGGCUGGGGGCCGCCUAGUUCCCCCACCUGUGGAGAUCCAAGCCAGCGAAGGGAUUAUUCAGCAAUCUGGCCCAGAGACCCCUUCUCAGGAGAGAGGAUAUUUGUUUCCAUGAUAAGCAAGCCAAUUCCCACAUCAUGAUAUAUUUAUGUUCUGUGUCUCCAGCCACCUGCUCAGACUCAAAAACAAAUUCCAGGUUCCAGCCAAGGAGGAAAUGUGACAGUUAAUUGGGGAAAUUGCAAAUAGGUCAUUCUAGAAGGUGGAAAGAGUGACAAGGGUUCCUGGCAGGCACAGGAGCUCACAGCUGGGGAGUCUGGGGGUUUCCUUAGAGCCGGGGAGCCUGCAGAGAAAGGCAGCUGGCAUCCCUUCCCUCCGGAAAGUUCGGCUAAGCCCGGGUCUCAGGGCGCUCCCCUGAGCUGGCCUUCGUGGCAGGAGCCAGGGUGGAGCUCCCUGUCAGAGUAGGGAAGAGCUGGACAGAGCCUCAGGGCAGGGCUGGGGCCGCUCCUCUGGUCUGGCUCGCUUGGGUACCAGAAUUUGAAUUACAGUUAGCAGGUGGGACCCCCUCAGUCUCUGUAAACUGGAUGUCAGCCAAGGCCUCCUGGGACUCAGGAGCUGGGACAAACUGCCUCCCGUCUCCCUACCUCCUCGUUCACAGCCUCUCCAGGACUCCUUCAGAUCCCCGGGGCUGCAUCCUCCCGGGCCUCAGCUUUUGGGCUCCUGCUUCCACCCUCAGAAAUCCAGGUGUGAAACUCAGCUGUCCUUCGAGCUCAGAAAGCUUGAACUUCAAGUUCAUUCACACAGAGCGUUCAGGAGCUGGUGGACGUCCAGGGGACUAUGAAAGGGAAGCUGGCACUGGGGCCGUGCCAGCCCACUUAAAAGCAGCAGCAGGCCCCGCCAGUGUCAGAAUGCCCUCUCCUGGGAGCACCCUGGCCUCCACCCACAGCCCAGAGCCCACAGCCGGGCCCACCCCCAUCACACUGGCCUUUUCAUCUUUUACUGUCUGUGCUGCAAAAACCAGAACUCAUCUCCUGCAGAGCAUUUCUCAGUCUUCUCUGCUGAGGUGGUCCAGGGACAUCCAGGCCUCCGCGUCAUGUAUGAGGGCACUUCCUGGAACAAAGACAGUCACCUUCUUAGGAACAGUUCUGGACCCAGUAGCUAAUCUAAUACAUCUUCCCUCUUUUUGGACGUCUAUAAUUAUACUCAAAAAGGGUGCUUCGGGGGCUGGCCCAGCGGUGCAGAGGUUAAGUUCGCACGUUCUGCUUUAGCGGCCUAGGGUCUGCUGGUUCGGAUCCUGGGUGUGGAUCUAUCCACUGCUUCUCAAGCCGUGCUGUGGCAGGCGUCCCACAUAUAAACUGGAGGAAGAUGGGAGUGGACGUGAGCUCAGGGCCAGUCUUCCUCAGCGAAAAGAGGAGGAUUGGCAGCAGAUGUUAGCUCAGGGCUAAUCUUCCUCAGAAAAAAAAAAAGUGUGCUUCAACUCGAGAAUUUAUAAAGAGAAGUGAGGCACUGGGGCCUGGAAGGCUGAGUGCUGACUAAUGAAUGAAG
RNAcentral lists this long non-coding RNA (5896 nucleotides) under Equus asinus (donkey). RNAcentral describes it as "lncRNA (ENSEASG00005028848.1)". Lineage: Eukaryota; Metazoa; Chordata; Mammalia; Perissodactyla; Equidae. The record is from RNAcentral.